Molecule: non-coding RNA, 76 nt
Organism: Myotis lucifugus (little brown bat)
Lineage: Eukaryota; Metazoa; Chordata; Mammalia; Chiroptera; Vespertilionidae
Source: Rfam
GAGACACCUUUCUGGGGCAAGACUUGCUUCAGUGGGGCUUUGGUGCUUACUGAGUCUGCCCCCUGAGUGUGUCCCU